Molecule: ribosomal RNA, 484 nt
Filed under: uncultured bacterium
Lineage: Bacteria
Description: partial 16S ribosomal RNA
Rfam family: Bacterial small subunit ribosomal RNA
Source: RNAcentral
AUUGAACGCUGGCGGCAGGCCUAACACAUGCCAGUCGAGCGGAUGAAGGGAGCUUGCUCCUGGAUUCAGCGGCGGACGGGUGAGUAAUGCCUAGGAAUCUGCCUGGUAGUGGGGGAUAACGUCCUGAAACGGGCGCUAAUACCGCAUACGUCCUGAGGGAGAAAGUGGGGGAUCUUCGGACCUCACGCUAUCAGAUGAGCCUAGGUCGGAUUAGCUAGUUGGUGGGGUAAAGGCCUACCAAGGCGACGAUCCGUAACUGGUCUGAGAGGAUGAUCAGUCACACUGGAACUGAGACACGGUCCAGACUCCUACGGGAGGCAGCAGUGGGGAAUAUUGGACAAUGGGCGAAAGCCUGAUCCAGCCAUGCCGCGUGUGUGAAGAAGGUCUUCGGAUUGUAAAGCACUUUAAGUUGGGAGGAAGGGCAGUAAGUUAAUACCUUGCUGUUUUGACGUUACCAACAGAAUAAGCACCGGCUAACUUCGUG